Long non-coding RNA from Astyanax mexicanus (Mexican tetra), 190 nucleotides. RefSeq lists it as uncharacterized. The transcript has 3 exons. The record is from RefSeq and is a predicted model, not a curated record. NCBI's taxonomy places the organism in Eukaryota, Metazoa, Chordata, Actinopteri, Characiformes, Acestrorhamphidae.
UUUUGUAGUUCUGAGGUUUUGUAGUCCUAUGGUUCUGAGGUUCUGUAGUUCUGUAGUCCUGUAUUUCUGAGGUUCUGUAGUCCUGUAGUUCUGAGGUUCUGAAAUUUUGUAGUUCUGAGGUUUUGUAGUCCUAUAGUUCUGAGGUUCUGUAGUCCUGUAGUUCUGUAGUCCUAUAGUUCUGUAGUCCUGU